AGUGAACGCUGGCGGUAGGCCUAACACAUGCAAGUCGAACGGCAGCACAGUAAGAGCUUGCUCUUACGGGUGGCGAGUGGCGGACGGGUGAGGAAUACAUCGGAAUCUACUUUUUCGUGGGGGAUAACGUAGGGAAACUUACUCUAAUACCGCAUACGACCUACGGGUGAAAGCAGGGGAUCUUCGGACCUUGCGCGGUUGAAUGAGCCGAUGUCGGAUUAGCUAGUUGGCGGGGUAAAGGCCCACCAAGGCGACGAUCCGUAGCUGGUCUGAGAGGAUGAUAAGCCACACUGGAACUGAGACACGGUCAAGACUCCUACGGGAGGAAGCAGUGGGGAAUAUUGGACAAUGGGCGCAAGCCUGAUCCAGCCAUACCGCGUGGGUGAAGAAGGCCUUCGGGUUGUAAAGCCCUUUUGUUGGGAAAGAAAAGCAGCAGGUUAAUACCCCGCUGUUCUGACGGUACCCAAAGAAUAAGCACCGGCUAACUUCGUG
This 492-nucleotide ribosomal RNA is filed under the name uncultured bacterium. Its description in RNAcentral is "partial 16S ribosomal RNA". It matches the Rfam family "Bacterial small subunit ribosomal RNA", at positions 29 to 507 of the family's 1533-position model. The record is from RNAcentral.